GAUGAACGCUGGCGGCGUGCCUAAUACAUGCAAGUCGAACGCGAGAUGAGGGAGCUUGCUCCCUCUGAUCGAGUGGCGGACGGGUGAGUAACACGUAGGCAACCUGCCCAUCAGUCCGGGAUAACCGCGGGAAACCGUGGCUAAUACCGGAUGAUCCUCUCCACCGCGGGGUGGGGAGUUGAAAGACGGUUUCGGCUGUCGCUGAUGGAUGGGCCUGCGGCGCAUUAGCUGGUUGGCGGGGUAACGGCCCACCAAGGCAACGAUGCGUAGCCGACCUGGGAGGGUGAUCGGCCAAACUGGGACUGAGCCACGGCCCAGACUCCUACGGGAGGCAGCAGUAGGGAAUCUUCCGCAAUGGACGCAAGUCUGACGGAGCAACGCCGCGUGAGUGAAGAAGGGCUUCGGCUCGUAAAACUCUGUUGUUAAGGAAGAACGACAGGUAGAGUAACUGCUACCUGUGUGACGGUACUUAACCAGAAAGCCACGGCUAACUACGUGCCAGCCGCCGCCGUAA
Molecule: ribosomal RNA, 514 nt
Filed under: uncultured bacterium
Lineage: Bacteria
Description: partial 16S ribosomal RNA
Rfam family: Bacterial small subunit ribosomal RNA
Source: RNAcentral